GACGAACGCUGGCGGCGCGCUCUAACACAUGCAAGUUCGAAACGAGCGAGAGAAAGCUUCGCUUUUCUCGAGCGAGCGGCGAAACGGGUGAGUAACGCGCGAGGAAACCUGCCUCAAAGAGGGGGAACAACAGUUCGGAAACGACUGCUAAUACCGCAUAAGCCCACGGCUCGGCAUCGAGCAGAGGGAAAAGGAGCAAUCCGCUUUGAGAUGGCCUCGCGUCCGAUUAGCUAGUUGGUGAGGUAACGGCCCACCAAGGCGACGAUCGGUAGCCGGACUGAGAGGUUGAACGGCCACAUUGGGACUGAGACACGGCCCAGACUCCUACGGGAGGCAGCAGUGGGGAAUAUUGCACAAUGGGGGAAACCCUGAUGCAGCGACGCCGCGUGGAGGAAGAAGGUCUUCGGAUUGUAAACUCCUGUUGUUGGGGAAGAUAAUGACGGUACCCAACGAGGAAGUGACGGCUAACUACGUGCCAGCAGCCGCGGUAAAACGUAGGUCACAAGCGUUGUCCGGAAUUACUGGGUGUAAAGGGAGCGCAGGCGGGAAGACAAGUUGGAAGUGAAAUCUAUGGGCUCAACCCAUAAACUGCUUUCAAAACUGUUUUUCUUGAGUAGUGCAGAGGUAGGCGGAAUUCCCGGUGUAGCGGUGGAAUGCGUAGAUAUCGGGAGGAACACCAGUGGCGAAGGCGGCCUACUGGGCACCAACUGACGCUGAGGCUCGAAAGUGUGGGUAGCAAACAGGAUUAGAUACCCUGGUAGUCCACACCGUAAACGAUGAUUACUAGGUGUUGGAGGAUUGACCCCUUCAGUGCCGCAGUUAACACAAUAAGUAAUCCACCUGGGGAGUACGACCGCAAGGUUGAAACUCAAAGGAAUUGACGGGGGCCCGCACAAGCAGUGGAGUAUGUGGUUUAAUUCGACGCAACGCGAAGAACCUUACCAAGUCUUGACAUCCCUUGACGAUGCUGGAAACAGUAUUUCUCUUCGGAGCAAGGAGACAGGUGGUGCAUGGUUGUCGUCAGCUCGUGUCGUGAGAUGUUGGGUUAAGUCCCGCAACGAGCGCAACCCUUAUGGUCAGUUACUACGCAAGAGGACUCUGGCCAGACUGCCGUUGACAAAACGGAGGAAGGUGGGGAUGACGUCAAAUCAUCAUGCCCUUUAUGACUUGGGCUACACACGUACUACAAUGGCGUUAAACAAAGAGAAGCAAGACCGCGAGGUGGAGCAAAACUCAGAAACAACGUCCCAGUUCGGACUGCAGGCUGCAACUCGCCUGCACGAAGUCGGAAUUGCUAGUAAUCGUGGAUCAGCAUGCCACGGUGAAAUACGUUCCCGGGCCU
RNAcentral lists this ribosomal RNA (1342 nucleotides) under uncultured bacterium. Its description in RNAcentral is "bacterial SSU rRNA". It matches the Rfam family "Bacterial small subunit ribosomal RNA", at positions 28 to 1381 of the family's 1533-position model. The record is from RNAcentral.